UUGCGACGCCCAACACACAAAACAAGCGGUGAGUGCUUUGGGGUGGGGUGACUGCGUACCUUUUGUAUAAUGGGUCAGCGACUUAUAUUCUGUAGCAAGGUUAACCGAAUAGGGGAGCCGGAGGGAAACCGAGUCUUAAUUGGGCGUUAAGUUGCAGGGUAUAGACCCGAAACCCGGUGAUCUAGCCAUGGGCAGGUUGAAGGUUGGGUAACACUAACUGGAGGACCGAACCGACUAAUGUUGAAAAAUUAGCGGAUGACCUGUGGCUGGGGGUGAAAGGCCAAUCAAACCGGGAGAUAGCUGGUUCUCCCCGAAAGCUAUUUAGGUAGCGCCUCGUGAAUUCAUCUCCGGGGGUAGAGCACUGUUUCGGCUAGGGGGCCAUCCCGGCUUACCAACCCGAUGCAAACUGCGAAUACCGGAGAAUGUUAUCACGGGAGACACACGGCGGGUGCUAACGUCCGUCGUGAAGAGGGAAACAACCCAGACCGCCAGCUAAGGUCCCAAAGUCAUGGUUAAGUGGGAAACGAUGUGGGAAGGCCCAGACAGCCAGGAUGUUGGCUUAGAAGCAGCCAUCAUUUAAAGAAAGCGUAAUAGCUCACUGGUCGAGUCGGCCUGCGCGGAAGAUGUAACGGGGCUAAACCAUG
Molecule: ribosomal RNA, 644 nt
Filed under: Salmonella enterica
Lineage: Bacteria; Pseudomonadati; Pseudomonadota; Gammaproteobacteria; Enterobacterales; Enterobacteriaceae
Description: partial 23S ribosomal RNA
Rfam family: Bacterial large subunit ribosomal RNA
Source: RNAcentral